RNAcentral lists this long non-coding RNA (1137 nucleotides) under Lactuca sativa (garden lettuce). Its description in RNAcentral is "long non-coding RNA (LSAT_LNC007151)". Lineage: Eukaryota; Viridiplantae; Streptophyta; Magnoliopsida; Asterales; Asteraceae. The record is from RNAcentral.
UUCCCUGGAAACCAGAACCAUCAGAAUCAUCAACAACACCACACUCAUCAUUGGCUUCCAUCUUUCACAUUCAAUCACCAUUUCCAAUAGCCAUUUAAUCGAGCGUAGCAAUUUGCACCAUCUCCAACAAUGAUUCAAUCGAGGGCACCACCAGAAACGCCGAAAUCAUUCAAUCGAGGGUGGUGGUUGGCAAAGUCAUCUGGAAAACUCUGAAGAUCAUCCCAUCAAACCCUAAAUUGGUUGUAUCUUUGUGGAUCUGCACUUCGUCGAUCUGUACAAUGAACAUCGUCUCUCUAAACACUUCUGGGUAGUAGUGUCAAAGAAAUGCAUCACUUCGUCGAUCUGUACGGCCCACCGCCAUCGCUGGUCGGAAAAUUCAUCUAGCACACUCAUCUUCUCUCAAUCUUCUUAUCAGUUCUUGUUUUGGCUGUUAGAGAAACAAGAUGCCGAUUUUGAAUNCUCCCCCCCCCCCCCUCUCUCUCUCUCUCUCUUUCUCUCUUUCUCUCUCUCGCGCGCGCGCUCUCGCACCCUCUUAUCACUUAAACUCUCAUGUAGAUCUUGCUUUCCAGUGGUUGAUUUUGAGUGGAUCUAAUUUUCGAUGGUGGUUAAUUUUCUUGGUUUUGAAUCGACCUGCUUCAGUUUGAAAUCAAUGUGUUUUGAUUUGAUUUUCUCAAAUCGAUAUGCGUUUUAUGUGAAAACGAUCAGGUGGUGGCGAAACUGAGGUUGACGGUCGCCGGAGGUGAGAGUCAUCGGAGAAGGAGGGCAUAAGCGCGUUUGAAAGGAGGUAGACAUAGGAGGCGGAUGGUCACUGGUGAUAGAGAUGCAACGAAAUGGAAUAAAAUCUUAGUGGGUGGUCAUAUUCUUUUUUUUUAAUUUUAAAUAAUAAUAAUAAAAAUAUUAAAAUAAAAUAAAAAAAUAAAUUCAUAAGGGCAAUAUAGUCAUUCUAUGUCUGUCAAAUGAUGAAGCGUAUAAAUUUAAACUAAUGAGGGAUGAAACGUACAAGUUUAAAACAAACAAGGGACGAUCUAAGUUAAUUUUUAAAAAUAGGGAUUGAACGUGCAUUUUGGCACCUAAACUAGGGAUGAUUCGUGUAAUUUACUCAUUUCAAAAAUUACGAAAUUUGCCCAAAUGUUCCAU